Drosophila sechellia is the source of this 2160-nucleotide RNA transcript. It is a transcript of the gene named trichoplein keratin filament-binding protein, with no coding region annotated. The transcript has 2 exons. The record is from RefSeq and is a predicted model, not a curated record. Lineage: Eukaryota; Metazoa; Arthropoda; Insecta; Diptera; Drosophilidae.
AAGUAAAUAUUUACAUUAGCUGUGCGCUGUGUUUGUAUACAAACGCGCUGAUGAUAUGCAGAUAUGAAUGGGUCCAUUUGACAGUAGGGCAUACUCGAUUCGUGCUGGCCGGUGGCCGCAUCACCGUGACUCAGCUUGAAGCGCUCAAUGCGAAAUGUUUAAAAGCCAAAUGGCAGAGGAAGUGGCCGGAUCGCAACAGGUGCUACAGGUCUACGGGUAUCAUCUAUCAAUGGCGUGAACUUUUGGCCGUUGACACUGCGGAAUUGAGGAGAGGUUCCGUUUGGCCCUGGUUCCCCUACCCCCGAUUCGUGUUUUUACUGCUUGCAUAUAUGGUAUGUAUGUAUGUGUGCAUGCUGACUGAGCUGGCAAACAUGGGGAUGCAAAGGGGAGAAAAGUUCGAGUGCUGCCAUGUUUGCCGGCGUCUGUGAAAACUUCUCCGGCCACGCCCACAGCGGCCAUACGCCCACGGCAUUUAUAUGCAUACGGAAAACUUGGCGGAGAAAGUGGGCGAGUGGUUGUGGGCCGCGGGAAAGCGGCGGAAAAGCGAAGGCGACGGAAACAGGAGGCGCAGCACUUGACUAAGUUAAUAGCGGCAGUUUCUAAUUAAAAUUUACGGAGAGCGAAAGUUGCGUGGGCACACAGUUGUCGUCAACAUAAUAGCAUCCGGCUGAAUUACACAAAUGGGCGUGUGACUAAAGGAUCUGCCAUAAGUGUUUCGAGUUUAAUUUUGCCGUGUGUAGGUGGUUUGUUUUGAAGAUUUAAUCACAACAAAACAAAUUGUAUUGUAUUAGCUUGGCAUUUUAAAAACAUAAAAUGGGUUAAUCAAAUUCGCAAAGUGCUAAUAUAUAUAUAAAUAUGUGUUAACAUCCAAAAAUAGCCAAGUUUCCUCAGGUGCCGAAGUGAAUAUUAAUGAAAAUAGCUAGCCAAAAAUGUUCCUAAAAAGGAGUUUAUGUUUUGAAUACUUUCUAUUGACAUUUACAUUUUUAUAGCAACGAUUGUAAGGAUAUCGAGUGCUGUUCUCAGAAUGAGUGUGAGUGUCGCGCCCGCAGUUUGGCACCUAUCCGAGUUCCUGGAUCCAGGAUGCGGAGUACUGGGUCCUGAGUCCUGGACUUCAUUGGCGGCACGUGCUUGAAUAAUAAACAGAGCAGCAGUACUGAAAGGCGUGCUGUGAAGGGGGAGGGGGGACUUUCAAAUCGUCGGCUGUUUAAUUUAUGCCGCUUAGUUUUUAGUGCGUGUAUGUGUGUGUGUGUAACAUGUUAAUUACAUUUAUAUUUACAGGCGAGCACGAAGAGCUCAAAAUCAGCCCGCUCCCCUAAUUGUUGUCCUAAUUACGCGGCCUAAUAAAGUAAACACACUAAACCCGUUGGCCUAAUCAAUGUUGCAAACUUUGUGGCACUAUUUUGGGCCACAUUCACACAUUCACAGCACCACCCCCCGCGAAAAAGGCCAAACUAUCGCCUCGAAAAGUAAUUUCGCUGGCGGAGGCGCAAAGUUCUUUGAUAAUAUUCGAUUAAUCCCACGGACGCUUUAUCGGGCUCGUUGCGCUGCGCUGCUGAUUAAAUUCUCGCAUAAUUGAAGUAUUUAAAUUACCAGCGAAUAAUUAGAGUGGCAGGAAUUACUCACACACUCACACUGGCACUCAAACUCGCACUCACACUCACACCGAGUUCUGGAAUGCAGUGGUCCCUUGGGUAAUUGUUUGUUUUUAAUCAGGCAAAGCACAUAAUAGAGACAUUUCAAUAUUAUUAUGUUGACGAUGCCGAAGAGGCCGUCAGUCUGCCAUUAAACAAAUAUCCGUGCAUUGUACAUUGUUUCGGGGAAUGUGCGAAAUUAAGUCACGCUCGAUUACAACAAAUUUGAAAAAACAAGAGGCAAAAAGCGACAGUACAACGUGAAAACAAAAAGUACCCGGAGCAACAAAAAAGAAAGAAAAAAUUGCACAAUAAAACCAGAAAAGAGCGAAAAAGCAACAAAACCAGAAAAGAAAGCAAAGGUUCUGGCUCCAAAAGCCGACUAUUUAAUUCCCUUUUGAUUAAUGUACUUAAUAUAUAUUCUCUACCUUUUUUUUACAACCAUUUUCAUCUAUUCAACUGUCUGCGAGAUUAAAAUUACUAUUUAAAGGAUUGAAAUACACAAGGAAUCAAAAUAAUGUAUAUUAAA